ACUCAAUGCAUGCUAAGAAAGUAUUUUACCAUGGAAUUAAUAACCCCUGGACCUUUUUAAAUUUUCUGUUUUGAGUCAGAGUCUCACUAAAUUUUAGGCUGGCUUAAAACUGGUAGUCUUCUCAGUCUUCUAGUCAGCUGUGGUUACAGAUGUGACCAGCAUACCUAGCUGCUAGUCAUUGAUUAGUGCCACCUCUGUUGAUUACAAUGCCCUACACCUGCUGUCACAUAUGUGCUCUCUACAGUCUACCACAGUGGCAACCUUGCUUUUCUCAGAAAUACUAAAAAUUGGUAUUUUCUCUUGGCUUAUUUUAAGAUACCUUUUAAUAAGUGUAAUUAAAUGAGGCUUGGCAUGGUAAUAGAUAAAAUGAUAGUGCCAAUGGUGAUUCUUAAGAUGGUUUAAAAGUUAUAAGAUCUGGUUUUAUAUUUUUUUUUCAUUGUAGCCAUUUUUCCACCUCGAAUUCUAUCUACUCGACCAGGACAAAAAAGUUCAAUUAUUAUGCAUGAUGAUAAUUCCUCUGACAGAGAUAGAGAAGACAGCAUCACUUACACCACUGUGGACUGGAGAGACUUUAUGUGUAACACAUGGCAUCUGGAGCCUACUCUUAGAUUAAUUUCUUGGACUGGAAGAAAGAUUGAUCCAGUAGGUGUUGAUUAUAUUCUUCAAAAAUUGGGCUUUCACCAUGCCAGGACCACUAUUCCCAAAUGGCUUCAGAGAGGAGUGAUGGACCCACUGGACAAGGUGUUGUCCGUUCUCAUCAAAAAACUUGGCACUGCACUGCAAGAUGAAAAGGAAAAGAAAGGAAAAGACAAAGAAGAACACUAGAAUAGUAGCUUGAUCUGUGAAAAACCUGAUUGUGUCCGUUAAGUUUUAUUACACUGGAUUUUUUUUUCAGCAUAACUUUAAAUAUUACUUUAAAAUAUUUCUAAUUUUGUGGCCAUUAUUGUAACAGUUUGUAAGUUAAUCUGUUUAUUCUAGUUCUACCAUUCUGUAUACAAUAAAGUAUUGCAUGAAAAUAUAAAUUUUGUGGAAAAUUACAUUAAAAUAUACACAUAAAAUUUAUGAUUGUUUUAUGUGCAAUAUGAUUCUGCAUUUAAAAUAUUUGCAGAGUAACUGUGAAUUUUUUUGUUAUUGGCCAUAACUUUUAGAAAAAAAUCUUGUUGAUAAUGUGAUUGGGGGGUCAUUUAUUUUUUUUAUGUAGACUUGUAUAAAUAUCUAUUUGUAUAUAAUUUGAGUAAUUGUGAUGAUUGUAUACCACAAAAAUAUUGUUUGUAACUAUUGUAAUAAAGUCACAAUAAUGGCUUCA
Molecule: non-coding RNA, 1306 nt
Organism: Peromyscus maniculatus bairdii (prairie deer mouse)
Lineage: Eukaryota; Metazoa; Chordata; Mammalia; Rodentia; Cricetidae
Source: RefSeq, a predicted model, not a curated record